Non-coding RNA from Phrynosoma platyrhinos (Desert horned lizard), 72 nucleotides. The record is from the annotation of a GenBank genome assembly. Lineage: Eukaryota; Metazoa; Chordata; Lepidosauria; Squamata; Phrynosomatidae.
GCCAGUGUGGUGUAGUGGUUUGAGCACUGGAAUAUGACUCCUACGACCAGGGUUCAAAUCCCUGCUCAGCCC